GGGAGAGAGAGCCUGGCUGCCGCGAUGGUCCCGCCGGCAACGGCGCGACCACCUGCGUGCCCAUCCUUCGGGAUGCAUCACGCUCUAACGUGGGCCGUCCCUUCAGGACGCCCCACGCUCGCGAGGAAAGUCCCCCCACCCGUUCGGGCGGGUGACCGGACGCAAGUCCGGAGCGGGAGACCGCUGGCUCUGGAACAGAAACGACACGUCUCGGCCAGACCGAUGAUGCGUGCGAACCCGACCGAGAGGAAGGGGAGUUGACCCGCAGAGGGAACGCGUGGCCGCUUCGCGGUCACGUUCGUGAGGCGGUGUGAACCGCCGAACGGGCGAGCGGCGGAAGCCGUGAGCCGUGUGCGGUCGCGACGCGUGGUUCGAAUCCACGAAUCGCGCCAUCGGCGCGAUUGACCGCACACAGACGGCCGAGGAUCGAUGGAACGGCGAAUCCUCACCGGUGCAAGUCCGCGCCGUGGUAGCCCGAACACCCCGCGGCCCCGCCGCGGACGGCGCGGACGCUCAGCCGAAUGCCGGGCCGAACAGAAGGGGGCUUACUCCUCUCACCC
This 560-nucleotide RNase P RNA is filed under the name Natrinema zhouii. Its description in RNAcentral is "Natrinema sp. YPL30 RNase P RNA component". The stretch from base 105 to 553 matches the Rfam family "Archaeal RNase P". From Rfam's summary of the family: Ribonuclease P (RNase P) is a ubiquitous endoribonuclease, found in archaea, bacteria and eukarya as well as chloroplasts and mitochondria. Its best characterised activity is the generation of mature 5'-ends of tRNAs by cleaving the 5'-leader elements of precursor-tRNAs. The record is from RNAcentral. Lineage: Archaea; Methanobacteriati; Methanobacteriota; Halobacteria; Halobacteriales; Natrialbaceae.